UUUCCGUAGGUGAACCUGCGGAAGGAUCAUUAACGUGCAUCUAAUGCAAAAACAAACCAAACCGACCGUGAACUUAAAAACCCUUACUUUAAAAUUAAGUCUUGGCAUUUUUUCGGAAAUGACUUGACUUAACCCACCACAUUCACCAAAAACCUAAUAUAAAACCAUUCAAUCUGAUACAAAAACUUAGAAUCGACGACUUUUAACGGUGGAUCUCUAGGCUCGU
RNAcentral lists this unclassified non-coding RNA (226 nucleotides) under plant metagenome. RNAcentral describes it as "partial contains small subunit ribosomal RNA, internal transcribed spacer 1, and 5.8S ribosomal RNA". The record is from RNAcentral.